RNAcentral lists this unclassified non-coding RNA (203 nucleotides) under Hevea brasiliensis (rubber tree). The record is from RNAcentral. Lineage: Eukaryota; Viridiplantae; Streptophyta; Magnoliopsida; Malpighiales; Euphorbiaceae.
AUUGUCAGGUCGAAUUCCAUCCUCUAUAGGUAAUCUCACUCAGUUGUCAAGUCUGAACCUGUCAUAUAACAAACUGGAGGGAAGCAUUCCUUCAAGCAUUAGAAAUUGCCAAAUUUUAAAUAGUUUGGACAUUUCAACAAAUAGUUUCAGUGGAGAGUUACCUAGGGAAGUUUUAGGCCUUGCCUCCUUAUCAAAAGGACUGU